CCUAACACAUGCAGUCGAACGGAUCCUUCGGGAUUAGUGGCGGACGGGUGAGUAACACGUGGGAACGUGCCCUUUGGUUCGGAACAACUCAGGGAAACUUGAGCUAAUACCGGAUGUGCCCUUCGGGGGAAAGAUUUAUCGCCAUUGGAGCGGCCCGCGUCUGAUUAGCUAGUUGGUGAGGUAAAGGCUCACCAAGGCGACGAUCAGUAGCUGGUCUGAGAGGAUGAUCAGCCACAUUGGGACUGAGACACGGCCCAAACUCCUACGGGAGGCAGCAGUGGGGAAUCUUGCGCAAUGGGCGAAAGCCUGACGCAGCCAUGCCGCGUGAAUGAUGAAGGUCUUAGGAUUGUAAAAUUCUUUCACCGGGGACGAUAAUGACGGUACCCGGAGAAGAAGCCCCGGCUAACUUCGUGCCAGCAGCCGCGGUAAUACGAAGGGGGCUAGCGUUGCUCGGAAUUACUGGGCGUAAAGGGAGCGUAGGCGGACUGUUAAGUUAGAGGUGAAAGCCCAGGGCUCAACCUUGGAAUUGCCUUUGAUACUGGCAGUCUUGAGUACGGAAGAGGUAUGUGGAACUCCGAGUGUAGAGGUGAAAUUCGUAGAUAUUCGGAAGAACACCAGUGGCGAAGGCGACAUACUGGUCCGUUACUGACGCUGAGGCUCGAAAGCGUGGGGAGCAAACAGGAUUAGAUACCCUGGUAGUCCACGCCGUAAACGAUGAGUGCUAGUUGUCGGCAUGCAUGCAUGUCGGUGACGCAGCUAACGCAUUAAGCACUCCGCCUGGGGAGUAC
This 788-nucleotide ribosomal RNA is filed under the name uncultured bacterium. RNAcentral describes it as "bacterial SSU rRNA". It matches the Rfam family "Bacterial small subunit ribosomal RNA", at positions 47 to 883 of the family's 1533-position model. The record is from RNAcentral.